This 205-nucleotide unclassified non-coding RNA is filed under the name Hevea brasiliensis (rubber tree). Lineage: Eukaryota; Viridiplantae; Streptophyta; Magnoliopsida; Malpighiales; Euphorbiaceae. The record is from RNAcentral.
AGAAAUGUUACUGCACAGUUGUGCUGUUAUGGUUUCGUAAUUUUGCCUAGUGUUCUCAUCAAGUUCCCUUGCUAACUAAUUCUCUUUCUUUCCAGAACUGUGACUUGCACUUACUGUAAUAUAGUGCAGCCUCCACGAGCUAAGCACUGUCAUGAUUGUAACAAAUGCAUUCUCCAGUUUGAUCAUCACUGUGUUUGGCUUGGCU